UACGUAGGGUGCAAGCGUUGUCCGGAUUUAUUGGGCGUAAAGAGCUCGUAGGCGGCUUGUCGCGUCGAAUGUGAAAACCCGGGGCUCAACCCCGGGCCUGCAUUCGAUACGGGCAGACUAGAGUUCGGUAGGGGAGUCUGGAAUUCCUGGUGUAGCGGUGAAAUGCGCAGAUAUCAGGAGGAACACCGGUGGCGAAGGCGGGACUCUGGGCCGAUACUGACGCUGAGGAGCGAAAGCGUGGGGAGCGAACAGG
RNAcentral lists this ribosomal RNA (253 nucleotides) under uncultured bacterium. Its description in RNAcentral is "partial 16S ribosomal RNA". It matches the Rfam family "Bacterial small subunit ribosomal RNA", at positions 524 to 776 of the family's 1533-position model. The record is from RNAcentral.